GCCAUAUCAUGAUUAAACACCGGUUCUUGUACGAUCAUCAAAGUUAAGCAACGUCGAGCCUUGUUAGUACCGAGAUGGUUGACCGCUUGGGAAUACUAGCUGCU
Molecule: non-coding RNA, 104 nt
Organism: Acanthosepion pharaonis
Lineage: Eukaryota; Metazoa; Mollusca; Cephalopoda; Sepiida; Sepiidae
Source: the annotation of a GenBank genome assembly